This 253-nucleotide ribosomal RNA is filed under the name uncultured bacterium. Its description in RNAcentral is "partial 16S ribosomal RNA". It matches the Rfam family "Bacterial small subunit ribosomal RNA", at positions 524 to 776 of the family's 1533-position model. The record is from RNAcentral.
UACGUAGGUGGCAAGCGUUGUCCGGAUUUAUUGGGCGUAAAGAGCGUGUAGGCGGCCAUACAGGUCAGCUGUGAAAACUCGAGGCUCAACCUCGAGACGUCGGUUGAAACCGUAUGGCUAGAGUCCGGAAGAGGAGAGUGGAAUUCCCGGUGUAGCGGUGAAAUGCGCAGAUAUCGGGAAGAACACCUAUGGCGAAGGCAGCUCUCUGGGACGGUACUGACGCUGAGACGCGAAAGCGUGGGGAGCGAACAGG